This 352-nucleotide long non-coding RNA is filed under the name Volvox carteri. RNAcentral describes it as "long non-coding RNA (VCAR_LNC000604)". Lineage: Eukaryota; Viridiplantae; Chlorophyta; Chlorophyceae; Chlamydomonadales; Volvocaceae. The record is from RNAcentral.
UGUAAUGUAAUGUAAUGUAAUGUUACAGAGUGGGAGGCUUCUGGGCCGCUUUAUCACAUUGUCAGUUCUACGAUCAUUUAUCAUCUUAUAGCACCAUCCACCACUACCACACUGUACUUCGCCAUACGAACUGUAAGUCCAAGGCGGCGGAUCCAGCCUUCAGGGACCCCUCCUCAUCUAUUCUCCCGAACACUCGAAGAGACGGAGGGUUCGGCAAUCGCCACCAAUCCAGCGUGCGAAUCUAGUCCAUCAAUUGUGUCCUCGACUCCACAUUCCAGUAGCUAGCCAUAAUCUCGCUCCCGACUAAUUCGGGGGUUUCCCCAGGAAUCGAACCCAGGACCUUAAACCGCGU